GUACACGCUGUGACUAGCAUAUCAAUAAGCGGAGGAAAAGAAACUAACAAGGAUUCCCUCAGUAACGGCGAGUGAAGCGGGAAGAGCUCAAAUUUGAAAUCUUCAAGGUUUUACCUUGACGAAUUGUAGUUUAAAGAAGUGUUUUCUGCUGAAGUUUUGGUAAAAGUUCUUUGGAAUAGGACAUCAUAGAGGGUGAGAAUCCCGUAUUUGACCAUUAUUUUCAGCUUUGUGAUACACUUUCAAAGAGUCGGAUUGUUUGGGAAUGCAGUCCCAAAAUGGGUAGGUAAAUUUCAUCUAAGGCUAAAUAUUGGCGAGAGACCGAUAGCGAACAAGUACCGUGAGGGAAAGAUGAAAAGAACUUUGAAAAGAGAGUUAAAUAGUACGUGAAAUUGUCAAAAGGGAAGCGUUUAACACCAGUGUUGUUUUCUGAAAAUCAACCUCUGUUAGCUUUAUGCAUGUUUGUUUAGACCUAAUCAGCUAUCUUUCAUGUUCUAUUGUUUGCAGUGGUGCACUUUUCAGUUUACAGGUCAAUAUCAGUUUUUUUUACCGUAAAAAAGUUAAAGAAAGGUAGCUCAUGGCUCCGGUCGUGAGUGUUAUAGUCUUUUUCCUAUGCGGUAGGAGAGACUGAGGUCUGCAGUGUAGGCUAUUUGGCUAGAUACUCAGGUGCUAUGUGAUACCAUUUCAUAAACAACUUGUUGAUUAUGUUUUGUCUAUUGCAUACUCGCUUGUACUAUCAUACCUACGCUUAGGAUGUUGAGUAGCGACAUACGCAC
This 773-nucleotide ribosomal RNA is filed under the name uncultured Neocallimastigales. RNAcentral's name for it is "partial large subunit ribosomal RNA". The stretch from base 4 to 663 matches the Rfam family "Eukaryotic large subunit ribosomal RNA", at positions 24 to 664 of the family's 3401-position model. Lineage: Eukaryota; Fungi; Neocallimastigomycota; Neocallimastigomycetes; Neocallimastigales. The record is from RNAcentral.